CCUACGGGUGGCAGCAGUGAGGAAUAUUGGUCAAUGGACGAGAGUCUGAACCAGCCACGUAGCGUGAAGGAUGACUGCCCUAUGGGUUGUAAACUUCUUUUAUAUGGGAAUAAAACGUUCCACGUGUGGGAUUUUGUAUGUACCAUAUGAAUAAGGAUCGGCUAACUCCGUGCCAGCAGCCGCGGUAAUACGGAGGAUCCGAGCGUUAUCCGGAUUUAUUGGGUUUAAAGGGAGCGUAGGUGGAUUGUUAAGUCAGUUGUGAAAGUUUGCGGCUUAACCGUAAAAUUGCAGUUGAAACUGGCAGUCUUGAGUACAGUAGAGGUGGGCGGAAUUCGUGGUGUAGCGGUGAAAUGCUUAGAUAUCACGAAGAACUCCGAUUGCGAAGGCAGUUCACUGGACUGCAACUGACACUGAGGCUCGAAAGUGUGGGUAUCAAACAGGAUUAGAUACCCUUGUAGUC
RNAcentral lists this ribosomal RNA (460 nucleotides) under uncultured bacterium. Its description in RNAcentral is "partial 16S ribosomal RNA". It matches the Rfam family "Bacterial small subunit ribosomal RNA", at positions 338 to 795 of the family's 1533-position model. The record is from RNAcentral.